CGACAUGGAGGGCGCGAUGGCAGUGCGGGUAACAGCUGCGCAUACGGCAGAAGCCCGGGCCGAAGCCGGGCAGGAAGCGGGCGAGGGCGGGGUCGCGGCGGCGGCGGCGGCGGCGGCGGCGGCCUUGGCCCCCGGUGGCUUCCUUGGCCUCCCGGCGCCCUUUAGCGAGGAAGAUGAGGAUGACGUGCACCGAUGUGGCCGCUGCCAGGCGGAGUUCACCGCCUUGGAGGACUUUGUUCAGCACAAGCUCCAGAAGGUCUGCCAGCGGGUGCCCCAGGAGGCCCUGCCUGCCACCAAUGCUACUGCGCUGCUGGGUCAGGAGGUGGAGCCAGCAGCAGCAGGCUCAGAGGAGCCCAUCACCGUGGCCCACAUCGUGGUGGAGGCAGCCACUCUCACGGCAGACAUCAGCCACACUCCUGACAUUGUCGGUGGUGGACACAUCAAAGAGGUCAUCGUGGCCUCUGAGGCGGAGCCGGGGGACAGCGGGAUGGCAGAGGCCCAGGGCAGCCCCAACUGUCAGGGGCCUGGGCUCUCUGGGGAGGGUGAGCAGGCCCAGGUCAAGCUGCUGGUGAACAAGGACGGCCGCUACGUGUGCAUGCUGUGCCACAAGACCUUCAAGACGGGCAGCAUCCUUAAGGCCCACAUGGUCACCCACAGUAGCCGAAAGGACCACGAGUGCAAACUGUGUGGGGCCUCCUUUCGCACCAAAGGCUCACUCAUCCGGCACCACCGGCGGCACACAGAUGAGCGUCCCUAUAAGUGUGCCAAGUGUGGAAAGAGCUUCCGCGAGUCGGGUGCGCUGACCCGGCACCUCAAGUCUCUCACCCCGUGCACAGAAAAAAUCCGCUUCAGCAUGAGCAAAGAUGUGGUUGUUGGCAAAGAGGACACUCCCACAGGGCCUGGUGCCUCCACCGUGGGGACUGUUACAUCAUCGGCAAUGACAGGUGGGCCCAUGGAAACUUCGCCUGUGAUUCACCUGGUGACAGAUGCCAAGGGCACUGUCAUCCACGAAGUCCACGUCCAGAUGCAAGAGCUUCCCCUGGGCAUGAAAGCCCUCACCCCAGAGCCCCCCGGCCCUGAGGAGCUUCCCUGUUCCAGCGAGGGCAGCCGUGAGAACCUGCUGCACCAGGCCAUGCAGAACUCCGGCAUUGUCCUUGAGCGGGUCCCUGGGGAGGAGGGAGCCCUGGAGCCAGCCCCUCCCACUGUGUCCAGUCCCCAGCCCCUGGGAGAUGGUCCCCCAGAACUGCCGCUGCUGGAGGUGGAACAGGUGGAGACAGUGGCCAGUGAGGCCUCAGCUGUGCCCAGGACCCACCCGUGCCCUCAGUGCAGUGAGACCUUCCCAACGGCGGCCACCCUGGAGGCCCACAAAAGAGGCCACGCAGGGCCGAGGCCAUUCACAUGCCCGCAGUGUGGCAAGGCCUUCCCCAAGGCCUACCUGCUCAAGAAGCACCAGGAGGUGCACGUGCACGAGCGCCGUUUCCGCUGUGGGGACUGCGGGAAGCUCUACAAGACCAUCGCCCACGUCCGCGGCCACCGGCGUGUCCAUUCAGAUGAGAGGCCCUACCCCUGUCCCGAGUGUGGCAAGUGCUACAAGACCAAGAAUGCCCAGCAGGUGCACUUCCGGACACACCUGGAGGAGAAGCCGCACGUGUGCCCGUUCUGCAGCCGAGGCUUCCGGGAGAAGGGCUCGCUGGUGCGGCACGUGCGGCACCACACGGGCGAGAAGCCCUUCAAGUGCUACAAGUGUGGCCGCGGCUUUGCCGAGCAUGGCACACUCAACCGGCACCUGCGCACCAAAGGGGGCUGCCUGCUGGAGGUAGAGGAGUUGCUGGUGUCCGAGGAGAGCCCUGCAGCAGCCGCCGCCGUCCUCGCCGACGACCCGCACACCGUGUUGGUCGAGUUCUCAUCCGUGGUAGCCGACACCCAGGAGUACAUCAUCGAGGCCACUGCGGAUGAUGCAGAGACCAGCGAAGCCACGGAGAUCAUCGAGGGCACCCAGACAGAGGUGGACAGUCACAUCAUGAAGGUAGUGCAGCAGAUCGUGCACCAGGCCAGCGCCGGGCACCAGAUCAUCGUGCAGAAUGUGACCAUGGACCAGGAGGCAGGGCUGGGCACAGAGGCAGCUGCUGCUGACACCAUCACUAUCGCCACCCCCGAGAGCCUGACGGAGCAGGUGGCCAUGACGCUGGCCUCGGCCAUCAGCGAGGGCACUGUGCUCACAGCCCGCUCGGGUACAAAUGGCGCCGAGCAAGCCACUGUGACCAUGGUUUCAUCAGAGGACAUUGAGAUCCUGGAGCAUGCGGGAGAGCUGGUCAUCGCCUCGCCGGAGGGCCAGCUUGAGGUGCAGACAGUCAUCGUCUAACACGGGCGCCUGCAGGGUCCCGGGAGGCUGGGCUGGGGCAGGGGGUGAGGACCCCGAGUGCCCUGCCCUUGCCUGCCUGGCCGAGUACAGAGAAGAUGGGCAUAGAACUCAGGCGUUCAGAGGAGAUGUGGAAGUGUAAAUACACAGAGUUUUUGGUUGCUUUACAAUAAAACAUGAAAACCCGCCGCUUGUGAUGUUGCGGCAGUGGCAGCCUCAGGGGCUGGUGCCACUGCCCUGGCAGGUUCCUCUGUGGCAGCCCCUGCCUGCCCAGGGAUCCCAGCAGGGCUGGCGGCACCUUGGCAGUGUGUGGGUGUCAUUGGUAUGUGGACAGGCAGCCUCCUGCUGCUGCCUUGCCCAGCUGGAGCUGUGACCCCAGCUUCCUGAGGCCCAUAGAGGUGGGUGGGAGGGGAUGCUGCUUCCUAGCCUCCAACCCUGGGGCCUCCCUGGGGCCGGGGAAUGAGACUGGGAGACCCAGGAGUCUCGGCUUUUUACCUUGAGGUGACAGCACGUGGAGAAGCAGCAGGAGAUGCUGGGCCACAAAUGGGGCCGGUCUUUCCUGAUUGUGUUGACUUAGUUUCCCUGAAGAGAUGCAGCUUGAGGGAGAUUCUGGGUGACCGAGUUUCUCGGGGGCAGGGACAGGAGCAAGACCUGGACCGUGGGCAUGUCUGGUCCUCUUUCCCAGUCCUGAUGUAGCUCUUGGGCUGGCAGGGCCUUCUGAGUCCCUGUUCUAACAGGCUUGGGGGCACCACAGCAGUCUCAAGGUGGAUCCCCUGCCGACUUGCCCUGCGGGGGUGGGGGUGGUCUCUGUGGGAAUGGGAGCUAGGAGUUACAGUGUCCAAUUCGUGGAGGGGGCAGGACCCAGUGCAGUCCCGGCCCCUCCCUGGAGCAGGGUUUCAAAUACUCACGGAGCUGGGGCGCCAGAGCUGCUGCUAGACCAAGCCCUUGCAGUCUGUCCUGUGCUGCAGACACACCCCCAGCUGGGACCUCUGACUUCUACUGGGACCCAGAUCCUAAGCCUCUGACACAGCCAAUCCACAUCCCUCAGGGGCUGCAGGAGAUGCGGCGCUGCGCAUCGGAGCUUUCAACAUCCGGAGCUUCGGCGACAGCAAAGUGUCAGACCCGGCCUGCAGCGGCAUCAUCGCGCAAGUGAGGCUGGGGACCCUGGGCGGGGUUGUAGCUGGGCUCCGCGGGCUAAUUUGCCGCGCACACGUGACCCCGCACCUGCCGGCCCCUCCCCCAGAUCCUGGCUGGCUAUGACAUCACGCUGGUGCAGGAGGUGCGGGACUCCGACCUGAGCGCCGUAUCCGCGCUCAUG
Molecule: RNA transcript, 3677 nt
Organism: Globicephala melas (long-finned pilot whale)
Lineage: Eukaryota; Metazoa; Chordata; Mammalia; Artiodactyla; Delphinidae
Gene: E4F1
Gene name: E4F transcription factor 1
Source: RefSeq, a predicted model, not a curated record